GCAAGUCGAACGCGAUUUUCUCGGUUAGCAAUAACUGAGGAAAUUGAGCGGUGAAUGGGUGCGUAACACGUGGGAAUUUAUCCGGAAGUGGGGGAUAGCUCGUCGAAAGGCGAAUUAAUACCGCAUAUGCCUGUAAGGGCAAAGUGGGGGACCGCAAGGCCUCACGCUAUCGGAGGAGCCCGCGCCCUAUCAGCUAGUUGGUGAGGUAAUGGCUCACCAAGGCUUAGACGGGUAGCUGGUCUGAGAGGACGACCAGCCACACUGGAACUGAGACACGGUCCAGACACCUACGGGUGGCAGCAGUCGAGGAUUUUUCUCAAUGGGGGCAACCCUGAAGGAGCGACGCCGCGUGGAGGAUGAAGGGCUUCGGCUCGUAAACUCCUGUCACCGACGAACAAGACAUCCGGAUUAAUAACUCGGAUGUUUGAUGGUAGUCGGAGAGGAAGGGGCGGCUAACUCUGUGCCAGCAGCCGCGGUGAUACAGAGGCCCCAAGCGUUGUUCGGAUUUACUGGGCGUAAAGGGUGUGUAGGGGGUUAGGUUAGUCUGACGUGAAAUACCGUUGCUCAACAACGGAACUGCGUCGGAUACUGCCUAGCUAGAGGUUCGGAGAUGAGGGCGGAAUUCUCGGUGUAGCGGUGAAAUGCGUAGAUAUCGAGAGGAACGCCGAUGGCGAAAGCAGCCCUCAAGACGAAAUCUGACCCUGAAACACGAAGGCCAGGGGAGCAAACGGGAUUAGAUACCCCGGUAGUCCUGGCAGUAAACGGUGCUCAUUAGAUGUAGGCGGAUUCGACCCCGCCUGUGUCGAACCUAACGGAUUAAAUGAGCCGCCUGGGAAGUACGGUCGCAAGAUUAAAACUCAAAGAAAUUGACGGGGGCCCGCACAAGCGGUGGAGUAUGUGGCUUAAUUCGAU
This 912-nucleotide ribosomal RNA is filed under the name uncultured Verrucomicrobiales bacterium. Its description in RNAcentral is "bacterial SSU rRNA". It matches the Rfam family "Bacterial small subunit ribosomal RNA", at positions 57 to 955 of the family's 1533-position model. Lineage: Bacteria; Pseudomonadati; Verrucomicrobiota; Verrucomicrobiia; Verrucomicrobiales. The record is from RNAcentral.